GAGUUUGAUCGUGGCUCAGAGUGAACGCUGGCGGCAGGCCUAACACAUGCAAGUCGAACGGCAGCACAGAGGAGCUUGCUCCUUGGGUGGCGAGUGGCGGACGGGUGAGGAAUGCAUCGGAAUCUGCCUAUUUGUGGGGGAUAACGUAGGGAAACUUACGCUAAUACCGCAUACGUCCUACGGGAGAAAGUGGGGGACCUUCGGGCCUCACGCAGAUAGAUGAGCCGAUGCCGGAUUAGCUAGUUGGCGGGGUAAAGGCCCACCAAGGCGACGAUCCGUAGCUGGUCUGAGAGGAUGAUCAGCCACACUGGAACUGAGACACGGUCCAGACUCCUACGGGAGGCAGCAGUGGGGAAUAUUGGACAAUGGGCGUAAGCCUGAUCCAGCCAUGCCGCGUGUGUGAAGAAGGCCUUCGGUUGUAAG
This 423-nucleotide ribosomal RNA is filed under the name uncultured Gammaproteobacteria bacterium. RNAcentral's name for it is "bacterial SSU rRNA". It matches the Rfam family "Bacterial small subunit ribosomal RNA", at positions 9 to 429 of the family's 1533-position model. Lineage: Bacteria; Pseudomonadati; Pseudomonadota; Gammaproteobacteria. The record is from RNAcentral.